This 464-nucleotide ribosomal RNA is filed under the name uncultured bacterium. Its description in RNAcentral is "partial 16S ribosomal RNA". It matches the Rfam family "Bacterial small subunit ribosomal RNA", at positions 339 to 795 of the family's 1533-position model. The record is from RNAcentral.
CUACGGGCCGCUGCAGUAGGGAAUCUUCGGCAAUGGGGGCAACCCUGACCGAGCAACGCCGCGUGAGUGAAGAAGGUUUUCGGAUCGUAAAGCUCUGUUGUAAGAGAAGAACGAGUGUGAGAGUGGAAAGUUCACACUGUGACGGUAACUUACCAGAAAGGGACGGCUAACUACGUGCCAGCAGCCGCGGUAAUACGUAGGUCCCGAGCGUUAUCCGGAUUUAUUGGGUGUAAAGCGAGCGCAGGCGGUUAGAUAAGUCUGAAGUUAAAGGCUGUGGCUUAACCAUAGUACGCUUUGGAAACUGUUUAACUUGAGUGCAGAAGGGGAGAGUGGAAUUCCAUGUGUAGCGGUGAAAUGCGUAGAUAUAUGGAGGAACACCGGUGGCGAAAGCGGCUCUCUGGUCUGUAACUGACGCUGAGGCUCGAAAGCGUGGGGAGCAAACAGGAUUAGAUACCCUUGUAGUC